UCAAUGCCUGUCUAGUACGGCGAGUGAGCGGCAACAGCUCAAUUUGAAAGCUAGCCUUCGGGUUCGCAUUGUAAUUUGUAGAGGAUGCUUUGGGUAAAACGCCAGUCUAAGUUCCUUGGAACAGGACGUCAUAGAGGGUGAGAAUCCCGUAUGUGACUGGAAAUGUUAACCUAUGUAAAGCUCCUUCGACGAGUCGAGUUGUUUGGGAAUGCAGCUCUAAAUGGGAGGUAAAUUUCUUCUAAAGCUAAAUAUUGGCGAGAGACCGAUAGCGCACAAGUAGAGUGAUCGAAAGAUGAAAAGCACUUUGGAAAGAGAGUUAAAAAGCACGUGAAAUUGUUGAAAGGGAAGCGCUUGCAAUCAGACUUGUUUAAACUGUUCGGCCGGUCUUCUGACCGGUUUACUCAGUUUGGACAGGCCAGCAUCAGUUUCGGCGGCCGGAUAAAGGCUCUGGGAAUGUGGCCUCCACUUCGGUGGAGGUGUUAUAGCCCAGUGUGUAAUACGGCCAGCCGGGACUGAGGUCCGCGCUUCGGCUAGGAUGCUGGCGUAAUGGUUGUAAGCGACCCGUCUUGAACACCGGACAA
RNAcentral lists this ribosomal RNA (581 nucleotides) under Aureobasidium namibiae. RNAcentral's name for it is "eukaryotic LSU rRNA". It matches the Rfam family "Eukaryotic large subunit ribosomal RNA", at positions 68 to 668 of the family's 3401-position model. Lineage: Eukaryota; Fungi; Ascomycota; Dothideomycetes; Dothideales; Saccotheciaceae. The record is from RNAcentral.